UGAAGGGUUUCACAACACCUGUUUCGUUGCUACCUUACAUUUGUUUGUGGGGGGUUGGGGCAGAUCACUACACACGAGCAUCCCGCGAAGUAAGCGGGUCACUCGAGGGCGACCUGUACCCCCUAAAAAAUUCUUCUAGCAACUGAGCUAGGAGCCGGUCGUCACUCCGGCUCGUUAUUUUCCUUACUCAUUAGUUUAAGGCAUGAAGCAAUCGCGGUCGUGAAAAUGAAUAGGUACUUGUACAAGUCUACAACGUGUGUGGUUUGCAAUAUGUUCCACGUACCAGCACUGACGGACAUUAUUUCCGCUUUUAAACAAGCCAGAUUGUUUACUAUCAUAUCUUCGUUUAUUCUACCUGUCAUGAUCUAAUAUUAGAUGAAGCAGAAUGUACAAUUUCACAUUUUCAGUCAUGGUGGCUACAAAGAUAUGGGCUCAUUAACAUAAUUUAUGCAUGGUUUAGUCAUAGCCCUGGGUGAAAGAAAAUGUCUUUACGAUUAUGUGCAGGACAUUUUACAUUCAGGAACCGCAGUAUGUGCGUCCUACUAAUUUAUUUCUAUCUUAGGCCAUAUCAAUACAAUUUCUUGCUUCUCGGAUAAUCGUUUUCUGAUUUGAAAGAAAAUAUCUACUGAUGUGGGAACAUCCCCUCUACUCUUUGGGCUCCAGGAAUCAGUUUUGAGUCCACUGAUCUUGCUUUUUUUUUGGUCAGGGCACUCAUCUACCCUAAAAUGCUUACCUUUAGGCACCAAUUAUUUUCGUCUACGUGAAGGAGACACUGUAUCGGAUGUCUGUCAGCACAGCAAAUUUCCAACCUAAAUGCUGUUUCAUUAAAAUCUUGUUCCAACACCUUCAUGUAUUUUAAUUUUCUGAUAACAGUAUAAUGUAGACUCAAUUCACCUGCUGCAAUGAUCUUCUGUAAAAUCCAGGAAAAAAAAGGAGAAAACACCAUAUCAUCAGAUUAUCAUCAGAGACAUUUCAUACAGUUUAAACUAUUUUAUUGAUUAUUUUAUGGAGACACUUUUGAGUGAGGCAGGAGCAGCAAUGCUAGACAGCAGUACAUUUCAGCACAAAUCAAGCUUCAUUAAAUGGACGGUUAACAACUUGUACAUUUGGUUAAGCCUUCAAGAGCUGUUACACUGGCAUAAUUUUUGCAAAUUUCUUGUUUUGUAAAGUUGUAACUUUCCAUAAAACACAACAAAAUGCAGUAGGGACUUCCUAAAAUGUUUGAGGUCAAUUGUUUUUAGCUCAGUUAAGUUUGUGUAUUGCUGGCUCCUUGAGUUUGAUUAUAUGCAUUUUCUUCAUAUCUCGCAGAAUAGUUUUAUACCAUACAUUUUGCAAAGUAGUUUUAUACCAUAAAACAGUAGUUUUGAACACCAAAAAGGCCAAAUUCACCCCACCGAGGAACAUGCACAAUCAUGUGUGUUCAAGAAAACAGAACAACCAGCACACCAUAUCCCUGCUCAUUCACAAAAUGAGAUAAGACGAAAACUGACGGAUAGCCUACCAUAACAUUUGUUUGGCUUACAGAUGGUAUCAUCCAUUGAGUAAUUGCUAUUUGGCAUAUCUUAUUACCUGGAUGUCUAACCUUCAUCAAAGAUUUCAUCCAUAUCAGCAAAUAAGUCUGGCCUGAAGUGGGGUAAAAACAACUUGGGAGUGUUUUGGGCUAAAUAAUCCUAAUCUCUUGUGUUAGACAAUGACUAAGACAGGCCUGACAAUACAAACAUCUUCUUCCAGCAUUUUUAUAUCCUGGAUUGUUUCCGUAAAGUAGGAGAAGUCAUACAAGUAACAGAGAAAAUACAAUUAUUAAAGACAGUCACAGUGUGAUACAACCUGUAACAUAUUAUCUUUCCCAAGAUUGUAUCUGCAGCUAGCUUCAAUCCAUACAGUAGUCCUAAAAUGUUACAGAAGUACAUGUAUUGUGCACUGCUACAAUAGUACAUAGCAUUGGCAUAUCUAGGGUACAAUUUCUUGAUGCAGGAAGCAAGUACAUUUUCAACACACUAGCCAUCUGAACUAUCACCUUUGUACUUACAGAAUUGAAAAACAUAAUGUUCACUUUUUUUAACAGUACCCUGUUAUAUAAAGUUGCGUUUCUAUCAUUUUGCACCAACUGUACAUUGCUCUAUUACAGGUACAUGUACAAGCCUGAACUCAGAGCGCCUGCUAUGUUAUAAUCAAUGCUUCAGGUGUAUUUACAUGUGUAGGAGCAAUGCAGAGGAGUCUGGGGUGACCUGACGGGGUGAAGGUCAGCAUAGGCUAAAGUUCAAG
Branchiostoma floridae (Florida lancelet) is the source of this 2265-nucleotide long non-coding RNA. RefSeq lists it as uncharacterized. Lineage: Eukaryota; Metazoa; Chordata; Leptocardii; Amphioxiformes; Branchiostomatidae. The transcript has 3 exons. The record is from RefSeq and is a predicted model, not a curated record.